Non-coding RNA from Heterocephalus glaber (naked mole-rat), 213 nucleotides. The record is from RefSeq and is a predicted model, not a curated record. NCBI's taxonomy places the organism in Eukaryota, Metazoa, Chordata, Mammalia, Rodentia, Bathyergidae.
GAGUCAGCUGACUAUGAACUGAAACCUCUACAAACAGUAUAAUUGGUCUGGAUGAAUUUUAAAGUACUAAAUUGAAGAGGAAUGGGACAGAUGAAAACAAGAAUCAUGACUCGAUCUCCCACCUUGGAACUGACAAAUCAAUGCGAGCUCCUUGAAACUUACCACCAUGAUCUAAAAAUAUAUUCUAUAUUAAAAUGGAUACUCCCAACAGUU